This 630-nucleotide ribosomal RNA is filed under the name uncultured crenarchaeote. RNAcentral's name for it is "bacterial SSU rRNA". It matches the Rfam family "Archaeal small subunit ribosomal RNA", at positions 342 to 975 of the family's 1478-position model. The record is from RNAcentral. Lineage: Archaea; Thermoproteati; Thermoproteota.
GAAAGUCUUUAUCACAAUCGCACAGAAAGUGUAGAUAAGGGAAUCCUAAGUGCAUAUACUUAGUAUAUGCUUUUGCCAAAUGUAAAUAGUUUGGCGAAUAAGUGGUGGGAAAGACUGUUGCCAGCAGCCGCGGUAACACCAGCGCCACAAGGGGGGAUCAGCAUUAUUGGGCCUAAAGCGUCCGUAGCUGGUUUAGUAAAUCAUAUGUGAAAUUGUUGCGCUUAACGUAACAGUGUGCAUAUGAGACUGCUAAACUAGGAACGGGGGGGAGUAAGAGGUAUUCUUGGGGGAGCGGUAAAAUGUUAUAAUCCCAAGAAGACUACCUGUGGCGAAGGCGUCUUACUAGAACGGAUUCGACGGUGAGGGACGAAAGCUAGGGGAGCGAACCGGAUUAGAUACCCGAGUAGUCCUAGCUGUAAACGCUGCGAGCUAGGCGUUGCGCAAUCUAUAAGGUUGUGCAGGGUCGGAGCGAAGGUGUUAAGCUCGCCGCCUGGAAAGUAUGGUCGCAAGACUGAACCUUAAAGGAAUUGGCGGGGGAAAGGGCGAAUUCGUUUAAACCUGCGGGACUAGUCCCUUUAGUGAGGGUUAAUUCUGAGCUUGGCGUAAUCAUGGCCAUAGCUGUUUUCCGGA